UUACCUUCAAAACCCACUGUAGAACCUUACCUCUUGCCGCGUUGUCUCGGCGGGAGGCGGUGGGCGUCUCGCGCCCCUAGCGGGCCGUGCCGCUCCCGUCCCCGCCGGCGGCGCCAAACUCUAAAUUUACAGCGGACUGUACGUUCUGAUUUACAAAAAAAAACAAGUUAAAACUUUCAACAACGGAUCUCUUGGUUCUGGCAUCGAUGAAGAACGCAGCGAAAUGCGAUAAGUAAUGUGAAUUGCAGAAUUCAGUGAACCAUCGAAUCUUUGAACGCACAUUGCGCCCGGCAGUAAUCUGCCGGGCAUGCCUGUCCGAGCGUCAUUUCUGCCCUCGAGCGAGUUCCAGCAUCUAGGUGCUGGAGCCCGCCCGGCGUUGGGGCACUACGGUAGAGCACCUGUGCUGUCCGUAGGCCCUGAAAUGAAGUGGCGGUCCUGCCGCGGCGCCCCCUGCGUAGUAUAACAGCUCGCUUCGGGACCCGGUGGAGGCCAGCCGUCAAACCUAUAUUCUC
Molecule: ribosomal RNA, 512 nt
Filed under: Trichurus sp. OY16707
Lineage: Eukaryota; Fungi; Ascomycota; Sordariomycetes; Microascales; Microascaceae
Description: eukaryotic LSU rRNA
Rfam family: 5.8S ribosomal RNA (bases 172-325)
Source: RNAcentral